CACGUAGGCGGCUUGGUAUGUCGGGUGUGAAAUCCCCGGGCUCAACCUGGGAACUGCAUUCGAAACUGCCUUGCUUGAGUAUGGGAGAGGGAAGUGGAAUUUCCGGUGUAGCGGUGAAAUGCGUAGAUAUCGGAAGGAACAUCAGUGGCGAAGGCGACUUCCUGGACCAAUACUGACGCUCAGGUGCGAAAGCGUGGGGAGCAAACA
This 207-nucleotide ribosomal RNA is filed under the name uncultured bacterium. Its description in RNAcentral is "partial 16S ribosomal RNA". It matches the Rfam family "Bacterial small subunit ribosomal RNA", at positions 568 to 774 of the family's 1533-position model. The record is from RNAcentral.